UGAGAAAGGGAAAGAGACUCAGAAUUUAACUUUACUUUGACUUUGUCUUUGCUUUUGUUUUCCUUUGUUAAUUGUGAUUAAGUUAAUUGCUGUUCAUUCCAAUUACAUUCCAAUUGAUUAGAAAUCAUGACUUUCUGGAGAGAAGCUGGUUUAAAUUAUCUUCAAUACAGCCGAAUUGCUGGUCGAAUAGUUCGACAAUCAUUGAAAAAGGAUGUCAAGGUUGGAGAUAGAGAGGCAAGAAAUCAAUCAACUAUCAAAAUAGUUGAAGCCAAAAAGAAUUGAAUUGAUUAAUCAACUGAAAAUCAACAUGUUCCAAAACAAAGAAGAUUUUUAUAAUGUAAUCUACUUUUUUCAUUAAAAGUUAUACAUUUCCAAUUCUAA
Panonychus citri (citrus red mite) is the source of this 381-nucleotide long non-coding RNA. RefSeq lists it as uncharacterized. The transcript is spliced from 2 exons. The record is from RefSeq and is a predicted model, not a curated record. Lineage: Eukaryota; Metazoa; Arthropoda; Arachnida; Trombidiformes; Tetranychidae.